RNAcentral lists this long non-coding RNA (29308 nucleotides) under Vitis vinifera (wine grape). RNAcentral's name for it is "long non-coding RNA (VVIN_LNC000011)". The record is from RNAcentral. Lineage: Eukaryota; Viridiplantae; Streptophyta; Magnoliopsida; Vitales; Vitaceae.
UGUACCGAGAAAGAUCGGAGCAAUGAAGAAUCUGCAAAAGCUAUCAUUUGUAAAGGCGAAAAGGCAUAACAGAAUGAUACAGGAGCUCAAAAAUCUGACAAAGCUGAGGAAGCUGGGCAUUGUAGAACUAGCAAAAGAAGAUGGCAAUAGCUUGUGCCACUCAAUUGAGAAGAUGCCGGAUCUCCUUUCCUUGGAUGUUACCUCCCUUAGUAAGGGGGAGCCUUUGGAGCUUGAUGCAAUGACCAAUCCCCCGCGUCUUCUUCAACGCCUGUAUCUCAAAGGGCACUUGCAAAGGUUUCCAAAGUGGGUAUCUUCUCUACAUGACCUGGUGAGAAUACGCCUAAAAUGGUCCUUAUUGUCACAAGACAACCCAAUUGAAGCUCUUCAAGAUCUUCCAAACUUGAUGGAGCUGCAGUUACUUGAUGCAUACACUGGAACCCAGUUGGACUUCAACUCGGGAAAAUUUCAGAAGCUUAAGAUAUUAGACCUUGAGCAAUUGAAACAGCUGAGGUUUAUCAUAAUGGAAGAUGACACAUUGCCUUGCCUACAAAAGCUGAUCAUAAGGCAAUGCAAUGAGCUGGAACAUGUCCCCGUAGGCAUUGACGGGCUUCAUCAUCUCAAUGAGCUGCACCUCUGCGAUAUGCCUGAGAAAUUCGUGGCACUGCUGAAGAAAAGAGGCGGUGAACUUCGCCAUUUGCUUCACCGUAUUUUGCGUAUUCUCUCAUAUCAACAGGGCCAGUUGGUGGAAGAUCUUUCAUGACCAUAAAUGCUACAUCUGUGACAUGCACCAGUGGAACAAGAAUCAAGGUUUGUAUAACUACAUGGAUUCAUCGCUUGCUUCUUUUGGAUUCCUCAAAAUGCAUUGUCGUCAAUUCCUUUACUAGCAAUAUUACUGCAUGUUCCUAGGAAAUCAUGGUGGGAUAUCUAGCAUUUAUACAUAUCAAACAUCGAAUAUCUGUGGAGUCAUAUUUGAAACUGCCAUUGUUGAAACUACGCCGAGACUCGGUACAAGACAGUCGGAUUAUGGUUAGGUGUCAAGCCCCUGAGCCUUCCAAUUGAUUUUUAUUAUUCUUGUAUUGAUAAUAGUAUGAAGUUAGAAUCAAUUUUAUUAUAUUUCGCUUAAAACGUCGGAAUCAGUUUCACAUUAAGCUUGUAGGAUAGCGAACAAAUUGAAUAUCAAUUUACUAUAAAAAUCUUCUCUUUUUUUUUUUCAAUUUUUUUAUUUAUUUUAUACUUGUGUCUGGUUUGGUUAACAAAUAAUGACAUUAUGCCCACUUGUGAAUUUUUAAUAUUAUGUUUUUAUGAUUAUUUUAGAUGAUAUUAAAUAUAAUAGUGAUUUGCUUUAAUUGUUGGUUUGUUGAAUGCAUUCUUAUCCAAUUGUUUUUAUUUAUUUUCUCUAAAAUUUUUAUUACUUUAAAAUUGUUCUAUACUUUUUAAUUAAUUAAGCAGUUUAUUCUGCAUAUAGUCUGGUUUAAUCGAAUAAAAUACGAUGACGAAGUCCUCUAAGAAUCUUCUAUAAAAGUCAACUCUGCCCAAUCAAUUCUUUCACAGGGGAACAAUGGUUUAUUAAUGUGCAACUAGCGUUUUUAUAAAUAAAAUAUUCUUAAUUUCCUCUAAAUAUCAGAUUAGUGUUAGACAAAACCAAUAAUAAUAUUUUUAUUGGGAUUUUUCAAUGGCAUUAUAAAGUCACCAAUCAAUUAAUAAAAAAUGGUCAUUGAAGUCACCGUGAUUUAUUGAUUUAUUUAUUUUUACCUGGACAAUGAUCUUAAUUAUUGUUUUUUCUGUAUUAUUUAAGUAUCAAGUUUUUAACAAAAGAAACCCAAGGUUAUGGAUGGGCAUUUCUCAAUACUAGAGGUACUAGUUUUUUUAGGGAAAAAUAGGUAUAAAAAAAAUUUAAUAUUUGCUAAAUUUUGGAAAAGUUGAAUAAUAUUGAGAUUAGUACCUUGAAAAGUUAAAAUUAUUCAAACACAAAAUAAAGAAUAAAAAGUAUAUUAAUAAUUUGUUUAGUAAAUUUUAACAUUUCUUUUACUUGAAAUUUUUUUAAAAAAAAAUUCUAUAUAGGGCAUAUAAUUAGGAUUAGGUUUAUUAAUAAAUGAAAUGUUUUUCUUAGCUGACAAUGCAAUCAUGUUGACCCAUAAAUUUGCAUUAGAUUUAUGAGAAAACUUUGAAUUUCUUUAUUUUCUUUUACAUGGCACAAAGGUUUAUAUAGAUUGUCUUGAAGUAGCAGUAAAGUGAUCCUUUAAGUACCACAAAUACUUGUGAUUUGGAAAUAAUCAAAGUCUUCCCAAUUGGGACGACCCUAGGUUCCAAUACAUUAGCAUUGAUUUCUUUGAGUUGUAUAUGAUGCUUCUUUUCAUGUUAUUUACGACAUUGACUACUAGAAUCUCUUGCAGAUGCAAGUGGCAUUCAUUAAAAGUUAAGACCACUGCUUUCAAGGGUCCUAUGUCCAGCUUCCGAGCAACAACAAUACGAGAAUGGGAAUGGUAAUGGGGUGGAAUUUUCUUGAUGGGACAAAUUUGGGAUAAAUAUGAAUGAGUUCAACCAACAAAUUUGAGAUUUUUUGUUUUUUUUUUGAACCCAAAGUGGGUUUGGGUAUGAUGUUGUCCCAUCCCAUAUGUAAUAUUAAAUAAAAAUGAUUUUAAUACAUUUUUGACUUUUUUUAACAUAUAUCAAAUAUUUUUUUUUAUAAAGAUAAAUUAUACAUAUUUAUAAUAUUUAUUUAUUUGUAAAUUAUAUUUAUUUUUAAUACAAUUUAAAAGUAAAAAAAUUAAGAAAAAAUAAAAAAUAGACAGACAAGGUGAAUAUGAGAAUUUUCCUACAUCUGUUCUACCUAUUUAUUUAUUUUUUUCAUGAAAAUGAGAAUAAAUAUAAAUAAAUUGGACGAUAUUAAAAUAUGGGUGACCAUCUCAAACUUGCCCGUUACCAACCAUAACCGAGAAGAUUGGGUCAAUGUGGAUUUUUAAGCUCCUUUUUUGGUUUGGGUUUGCAAAAAAAGACCCAACCAUUUAUUCGUUUGGCCAUAUGAAGUUGAUGAAUGCAACACCUUAACUCGGAACAUGACAUCCAUCAAACUUAGGCAAUCUCUCGCGUAAAUUUUAAGAAAUCACAAUAACUAGGAAUUUUCAACUAUGAAAUUUCCAAAAGAUAGCAUCAUUUUACAUUGUUCUAAGGCCAGUGCCAAAGGGUUCAUGUAGAAUUUUCAAAAUGUUUUUGUCCUGAGAAAAUACAUUUUGGAUAUGUUUCGUACCCAGUAAAUUCCAGGAUGCACAUAAUGGAAAUAAAAUUGAAAAAAAGAAAAAAAAAAGUAAAGAAAAAUAAAAUAUAGAUUUAAGAUCAAUAAAUUAUGUUAUAUAUUUCUUCAAACUAAUUUCACUUAUUUUCCUUAUUAUCUAAAGAUUAAAUAAUUUUAAAAUACAUAAAUCUUUUAUUAACUUUCAUUAUAUUUGAUUUUUUUUUAUAUUUUUUAUAAUAAAAUUAAACAUGAGAAAAUUAGUUUUAUUAACAUUUUUUUUUCUUUUACUUUCCUAGAACCGAACAUAGUACUAAGAAGCUAUAGCUAGAAAUGCCAUGAUACCAUUUUCUUGAAAACUUCCAUAUAAUUAAUAUGUACAUGUAGAUUACCUACAAUUUUCAAAUAGACAAGUACUUGUGUGUUUCAGUUUCCAAAACUUUUAUUAGGAACUCAACUUAAGACUUUACUGAAUUCAUGGGAUUGUCAGAUUUAGUAUAGGAAGAAAUUUUCCAUUGUUGACUAUAAUCUAUAUAUGGUGACCAUGUGACAUUAAUAUAUUUAUUUAGAUAUAUAAAAAAAUAUUUGAUUAAAAGACUUAAAAUACUCUUUGUAAAACCAAGGUUUGGUUAAUCUUGAUUUUGAUGAUAAAAAUAAAAAAUAAAAUUAGAAUUCAUGAUUAUAUUUCAACUGUCACUAGACAAGAUGAUUUCUAGAGUGACAAUCACAAAAAUAAAAUUAAGUCAAAGAGAAAUCAAUAAAAAGAAGAAAACCUCAAAAAGAAAUGUUUUUCAAGACCUAAGCUCCAUAGGAUAUCUUUGUAAGGUUGUUGGUGCACCAAGUUUUUCAUGCAUUACAUUCUUUACUUAUGCACCAAAAUCAUUUAAGAAUUAUUUUGUUUUAAAUAUUUUAAAAUAAGAUGAUUUCAUGUUUUCAACUAAAACUUUGUGUCAAAUACUUUCCAAACUUGUUUAAAAUAGUUUUAAGUUAAAAAGAUGGUUAUUGAACCAAAAACGACUCAAUUGGUUGAGAAAUUUGCUCAAUCGGUUGAACAUAUUGAGGAACCAAUCAACCUGUUCAACUUAACUGGUUGAAGGGUGUAAAAAAACUCUUUCUCUUCCAGAACACUUAUUCGAUCGAUCGAUCGAGGUUGGACCUCAUCCGAUUGACCAAUUCAGCUCAAUCAGUUGAAAGGUGUAAAAAUCUUCUUUCUAUUCCAAAAUACUUCUUUGACUAGUUGAGGUUGGACUUCAUCUGGUCAAGUACUAGUUGAGGAGCGGUUGAGGUUCAACAGUCACCUGUCAUGCAUUAAAUGUUAAUGGCUAGUGAACCAGUCGAAUUGGAGCUCGAUCGGAUGAACUCGCAAUGACUAGUUAGACUUAUCUCCUCUAUAAAAAGGUUCCAAUCUUUAUUGUUUCAAGAGUUUAAUCUUCGUAACCCUUUCUUGAAUAUAUUUGAGCAUUGAAAGUGUGUUUUUUAGUGCACCAUUGUUCUAAAACUUGCAAUCAUUAAUGCACCAGUCAAUCCUAAUUUAUCUUGUAUCAUUUGAACCUAAAGUUUUGUACUAGAUUUUGUGAGAUUAUUUCUUAUCUUCAUUUGUAAAUCUUUGAGAGAAAUAAUCUAAGUGUGAGGUAUCAUUUAGGGAUAUUUAAGUGUGGGGUAUCACUUAGAAAUUCUUAAGUUUGGGGUAUUAUUUGAGGGAUUGUUCAAAAGUGAUCUAUCUCUUAAGGAUUUUAAAGGAUGAACCUAAAGUUCUGUACUAUAUUUUGUGAGAUUAUUUCUUAUCUUUAUUUGUAAAUCUUUGAGAGGAAAAAUCUAAGUGUGAGGUAUCAUUCAGGGAUAUUUAAGUGUGGGGUAUCACUUAGAGAUUCUUAAGUGUGAGAUAUCACUUAAGGGGUUGUUCAAAAGUGAUGCAUCUCUUAAGGAUUGUAAAGGAUGCUUAGAGCCAAAAGUUCAAGAGGGUGAAUUGGAACCAUAAUCCAAUUAUAUUGCUUGAAUGCUUGGUUUGAAAGCCUUGAAUUAGUAGAAUUUCAAACUUGUGAUUGAAACUGGAGGAGAGUGGACAGAGGCUAGGUUGCGUUGAACCAUUAUAAAAAUCUUGUAUUUGCAUUCUCUCUUAUAUUCUCUUUUAAUUUAUAUGCAAUUGUUUUUAUAUUAUUUAUUAUAUAAAUUACAUAUAAUUAUCUCUUAAAUUUACAUAAUUUAAAUUUACAAAAAGAGACCAUCACCCUAUUCACCAUUUUUAGAGUGGUUACCUUAGGUUGGAUUAACUUUUUUUUUUUUUUUAAUACUUUUGAAAUUGGAAAAAUGACGUUCUUUACUCAUUCCUUGAAAAAUAAAAAAAUGAUUCAUUUUGGAUGUUAUUCUUCUUUUUUAUUUUCUUAAAAAUGCCAUUUUCUUCUAUUUCCUAAUUUAUUUAUUUAGUUUUCACAUUUAGGAUACCAAGCUCUCUUUCUCCCUCUAAGUUUAUGCUUUCCAAUUUUUCAUUGAAUUUUUUUAGUGAAGUUCAAAUCCUUAACAAAGAUUAAUGGAUAAUGAUCGGUUGUAGUCCUCUCAUCUUUCUUUUUUCUUCAAGAUUCUUUAUAUUUUCCAUUUUCUCUUUAUUUCUUGUUGGAAUUUUUUAUUAGAGGGUUUUUUUUGAAAUUGUUAUUUUUAAAAUUUUUUGUAGUUGUUUUUUUGCAGGUUUUUUUUUCUUUUUGGUUAACGGUUUUUUGUUGAGGGUUUUUUAUUAGGGCUUCUUACAAUUUCAUUUACACUUCUACAUUGUUUUUGCUUAGGGUUUCUUGGUAGUUAUUUUCUAUUGAAAUUUUGGUUGGGGUCCGUUGCCAUUGUUUUUCAUUAGAGUUUUUUUUAUAGUUGUUUUAUCGAGUUUUAUUUUUUAUUUAUUUUUUUGCAUUUUCACUAAGUCUUAUAAUAAUACCCUCUAUUUUGUCCUUUUGGCACAUGAUACUCAAGUUAGCCAUCAUUCAUCCUUUAUUACUUGUUUGUGCACUUCACGGUCUUUUUUCAAGCUAUUUUUGAGCUCUCAUUGAUGGUCUACUGUGACUAUGUUUAUCACUAGUUUUUUGUAUUUUCUAUAAGAAACAUUUUGGAGGGAUUAGGUGGACCUUAACCUUGAUUUUAGUGACCAUUAAUUCUUAGUUUGUGAUUUUGUUUUUGGUUAAUUUAUAAUAUAUUUAGGCUUUUUUAAAACCUUUAAUGUCACUAGAUAAAUUCAUAAUUUGGAUUGACUAAUAAUAGAUUUCAUUUUUAAAAAAAAAUGUAUAAUGAAGGUCAACAUUGAAUUAAGAAAAAGUUUUUAUUUAUUUAUGAAUUUGAUUUAAUUUGAUCUAAUUAUUUUUGUUUGCAUUUUUUAUUUUUUAUUUUUAUAAAUUAUAGAACUUUAGAUAUCAAUCGUGAUUAUGAAAUAGGUAAAUUGAAAAUUGAUAUAUUAUGGCCACUGAACAUAGGCCCUAAGAUUUUUCAUGCUAUAAUAAUAUUUCUUUUAAUAUCUCAUAAAUCGUAAAUUAAAAUGAAAAUAAAAUUAAGAUUGGAGUUUAUUGAAGACAUCAAAUUCAUGCUUUAAAAUAUAUAUUAAAAUGGGUCGUUUCUUUUAAUAAUAAUCAUACUAAAACAUUUUUUUUUUUUUUUUGCUUUAAUGUCUUACAAGCCACCAACGGCCAACCAGCUGUACCCAACCUUACCAACCGUGAGCCUAGCCUUUUUCAACCUAUAAAACCUAGCCCUUUGUAGCAUUGGGCCAAAAUGACCCAUGUAUUAAAAAAAAAAAAUUAGAUGUAACCAUUUUAUGAAAUUUAUAUUCAAACUAACAUCUUUGAUGCCACGAGGACUCAUGUCAUAAAAAUAUUUUUUUUUUCAAAAUUUUAAUUAAAACCUCAAUUGGUAAUUGAGGUUUCAUUUUUGAACUGAAGUCGCAAUUACUAACUGAGACUUCAGUUAUUGAACUAAAGUCACAAUUGUCAAUUGAGGUUUUAGUUAAAAAAUAAAGUUUCAAUUGACAAUUGAACUAAAGCCUCAAUUGACAACUAAAACUUCAUUUUUUUUAACUAAAACCUCAAUUGUCAACUAAGCCUUAGUUAAUUUUUUUUAACUUUAAAAUUUAGUUAAAAAUUAUUAAAUUAUAGUUUAUUAUUAAAAUUAGAAAUAUAUAUUUUAAUAAUAAAUUAUUUAUAUUUAAGCUUAAAAAUCUAAUAUUACUUCAACAAAUAUAAAUUGAUAGAUAAAAGAUAUUAUAAAUGAAUAUUUUAUUUAUUAAUAAAUUAAUAAUAUUAAAAUAAUAAAUUUAUAUAACAUAUAAAUAAGAUAUAAAAUUGUAUAAUUUAUUAAUUUAAGAUUUUUUUUUAAAGAUAUUAAUGUAUUUGUAUUAUGUUAAAUUUAUCCAUAUGUUCUCUCAUUAUGAAAGCAUAUGAGGUCAUAUAUGUUUUUUUUUUUUCAGCAUAUAAAUGUUUAAUGGGUAUUUUUUGUGACUUUGAUAAAACAACUAAAAAUUAUAUUUUGUAGUAGACUUUUUUUAACUAAUUUUGUCAAAAAAUCUAUAUAUAAAAAUUUAAGAGUAUACUGUUAUUUCAAUAAAGAUAAAUUUCUUAUAAUACAAAUAAAUCAAUGUCUUAAAAAACAACAAAUUAAAUAUCUUAAAUUAAUAAAUUAUAAAAUUUUAUAUCUUAUUUGUAUGUCAUAUAAUUUUAUUAUUUUAAAAUUAUUAAUUUAUUGAUAAAUAAAAUAUUUAUUUAUUGUAUUAUAUUUAUCAAUUUAUGUUUAUUGAAGUAAUACUAGAUUUUUAAGUUUAAAUAUAAAUAAUUUAUUAUUAAAUUAUAUAUUUUUAAUUUCAAUAAUAAGUUAUAAUUUAAUAGUUUUUAAUUAAAUUUAAAAGUUAAAAAAAAAUAUUAACUGAAGCCUCAAUUGGCAAAUACACCUUAGAAGUAUACUAUUAUUUAGAUAAAAAUAAAUUUGUCAUAAUACAAAUAAAUUAAUAUCUUAAAAAAUAACAAAUUAAAUAUCUUAAAUUAAUAAAUUAUACAAUUUUAUACCUUAUUUAUAUGUUAUAUAUAUAAAUUUAUUAUUUUAAAAUUAUUAAUAAAUAAAAUAUUCAUUUAUAAUAUCUUCUAUUUAUUAAUUUAUGUUUGUUGAAGUAAUAUUAGAUUCUUAAGUUUAAAUAUAAAUAAUUUAUUAUUAAAUUAUAGAUUUUUAAUUUCAAUAAUAAAUUAUAAUUUAGUAGUUUUUAAUUAAAUUUAAAGUAAAAAAAAAAUUAAAUGAAACCUGAAUUGGUAAUUGAAGUUUUAGUUCAAAAAUGAAGUUUCAGUUACCAAUUGAGAUUUCAGUUAAAAAUAAAGUUUCAAAUUGCGGUUUUAGUUCAAAAACUAAAGCCUCAAUUGAUAAUUACGGUUUUAGUUUAAAAAAGAAAUCUCCUCAAUUAUCAAUCUAGGUUUUUAUUAAAAGUUAAAAAAUAUAUAUAUUUAUAUGACAUGAAACUAAAGAUGCUAGUUCGAAUAUAAGCUGGAUAAAGUGGUUAGAUGUAAUAUAUUUUUUUUAAUAAAUGGGACAUUUUGACCCAAAACUCUUGAGCUGCAACCAGCCAUACCAAAGACACCCUGCACUAGCCGUCCGUAAUCCUCUACUGCAGCUUCGUUUUAGCUGCCCGAGGCGUCUCAAAUCAGCCCCAUCAAGUUGUCCACUCUCCCUGCUAUGAGCUUGGAAAUAAUCCAAGUCUUCCCAACCGGGAAGACUCUAGCUAGCUUCCAAUACGAAGACUCUAGCUAGCUUCCAAUACAUCAAUACUGAUUUUCUUGAGCUGCAUGUGAUGGUUCUUUUCAUAUUAUUAAUUAACGCCAUUGACUGGUCAUCUUCCCUGACAAUUCAUCAGUUAAAAUCACUGGUUUCAAGGGUACACCCAGCCACCAAUGCAAUAGCAAUACGGAGAAGACUGGGUCCAUGUGAGUAAUUGAUAGGCUUUUUUUUUUUUUUUGGUUUUGGUACGCAGAAAAAGAGGAGUUUUGGGUCAAAAUGCCGUAUAUUAAAAAAAAAAAAUAUUACAUCUAAUUAUUUUAUGAAACUUAUGUUCAAAUGCUUUGUAGGAAUCAUGUCAUAAAUUUUUUUUUUUUUAAAUUUUAGUAAAAGUCUCAAUUAAUAAUUAGGGUUUCAAUUUUGAAUUGAAAUUGUAAUUGUCAGUUGAGGCUUUGGUUUUUGAACUAAAGCUAUAGUUGUUAACUGAGACUUCAUUUUUUAACUGAAACCUCACUUGACAAAUACUUUAUUUUUAAACUAAAGCCUUAAUUGACAAUUAAGACUUUUUAUUUUAUUUUAAAAUUUAGGUAAAAGCUAUUAAAUUAUAGUUUAUUAUUGAAAUUAGAAAUAUAUAUUUUAAUAAUAAAUUAUUUAUAUUUAAGCUUAAGAAUCUAGCAUUAUUUUAAUAAACAUAAAUUGAUAGAUAGAAGAUAUUAUAAAUGAAUAUUUUAUUUAUUAAUAAAUUAAUAAUAUUAAAAUAAUAAAUUUAUAUAACAUAUAAAUAAGAUAUAAAAUUGUAUAAUUUAUUAAUUUAAGAUAUUAAUUUGUUGUUUUUUUAAAGAUAUUAAUUUAUUUGUAUUAUGUCAAAUUUAUUCAUAGGUUCUCUCCUUGUGGAGGCAUAUUAUGUUAUAUAUGUUUUUUUUUUAGCAUAUAAAUGUUUAGUGAAUAUUUUUUAUGACUUUGAAAAAACUACUAAAAAUCAUAUUUUUUAGUAGACUUUUUCUAACUAAUUUUGUCAAAAAGUCUAUAUAUAGAAACUUAAGAGUAUACUAUUAUUUCAAUAAAGAUAAAUUUUUCAUAAUACAAAUAAAUUAUUAUCUUAAAAAACAACAAAUUAAAUAUCUUAAAUUAAUAAAUUUUAAAAUUUUAUAUCUUAUUUGUAUGUCAUAUAAAUUUAUCAUUUUAAGAUUAUUAAUUUAUUGGUAAAUAAAAUAUUCAUUUAUUGUAUUGUAUUUAUCAAUUUAUGUUUAUUGAAAUAAUACUAGAUUUUUAAGUUUAAAUAUAAAUAAUUUAUUAUUAAAAUAUAUAUUUUUAAUUUCAAUAAUAAGUUGUAAUUUAAUAGUUUUUAAUUAAAUUUGAAAGUAAAAAAAAAGCCUCAGUUAACAACUACGGCUUAGGAGUAUACUAUUAUUUCGAUAAAGAUAAAUUUAUCAUAAUACAAAUAAAUUAAUACCUUAAAAAAUAACAAAUUAAAUAUCUUAAAUUAAUAAAUUAUAUAAUUUUAUAUAUUAUUUAUGUGUUAUAUAAAUUUAUUAUUUUAAAAUUAUUAAUUUAUUAAUAAAUAAAAUAUUUAUUUAUAAUAUCUUUUAUUUAUCAAUUUAUGUUUGUUGAAGUAAUACUAGAUUCUUAAGUUUAAAUAUAAAUAAUUUAUUAUUAAAGCAUAGAUUUUUAAUUUCAAUAAUAAAUUAUAAAUUAAUAGUUUUUAAUUAAAUUUUAAAAAAAAAAAAUUGAAGCCUCAGUUGAUAAUUGAGACUUUAAUUCAAAAAUAAAGGCUUCAGUUAAAAAAUAAAGUCUCAAUUGAUUAUUUCGAUUUUAGUUUAAAAACUAAACCUCAAUUGAUAUUUACGGUUUUAAUUUAAAAAUGAAACAUCAGUUACUAAUUGAGACUUUCAUUAAAAUUUUGAAAAAAAAUAUAAUUCUAUGAUACUACUUCUACGUGACAUCAAAAAAGUUGUUUGAAAAUAAAGUGGUUAAAUCUAUUUUAUUUUUUAUCCUGGGCCAUUUUGACCCAAAACUCGAAAAAGAGAGUCGGCAAUUUAUUUGUAUGGCCCACACGAAAUUGAUGAAUCCAUCGCCUUAGAAAUAUGACAUCCAUCAAACUCAGGCAAUCUCCACCGCAUGAAUUUUAAAAGCCACAGCAAUUGGGGAUAUUCUACCGUGGAAGAUGGCAUCAUUUUACAUUCUACUGAGGCCAAUAUCUAUGCUUCGUGGUUCUCUGGAACCAAUCAUGUAUUGCCUUGAACCCUUGAGAGAGAACAUGUGAUAUGCCCACGUCUUUUUAUUUACGCACAUUCCUACUACUUUUCUUUGUUUUUAUUGUAUAAGGUUGGAGGGUGGUCUAUGUAUUGACUCGGUAUGUAUGCUUGACUACAAACUCGAUGGUAGUUCAUAUGAGUGGAUCCUAAUAUUGUUGCAGCAAUUUGCCGAUUUCAGAGAAAAGAGAGAGAGAGAUAAUGGUCGACCCAGAAAUAACUGGAGGGAUUGCAGCGAGUACUUUGAGCUUUCUUCUAGUAAAACUCGAUGCUUUUGCAAUUAGAGAAUGGAAAUUGCAGGAAAAUAUCAAAAAGUCUGUCCAAAAUUUAGGAUGCGAGCUGAGGAACAUUCAGGCCAUGCUGAGAGAUGCUGAUUCAAAGGAAGAGCAUAGUCACCAAUUUACGGUCUGGAUUAAAGAGGUCCGCGAUCAAGCUUAUGCAAUCGAGGAUGCUCUUGACCUGUUCAAACUCAAACAAGAAUCAGUGUGGCGCCGCCUGAAACUGCGUCACUCCAUCAACGACUUGAUACAGGAUAUUGAGCGGAGUCUCCAAAACAUUCAGCGGACAAAGGAGAGGUAUCGCAGCAUGGCCUCCUAUUCAACCAAUGCUGGCAACAACACAUACCUUCAUGUGAGAGUGGCUCCUUUGUUCAUAGGUAACGUUGAUACCGUGGGCAUUGAGGAGCCUACAAAUAAGCUGGUUUCCUGGGCCUUGGAACCGAAACAGAGGCUUGAGGUGAUGUUUGUGGUGGGGAUGGCUGGACUGGGGAAGACCACUCUUGUCCACAGCGUGUAUGAGAGCGUGAAACAGAACUUUGAUUGCCAUAUCUGGAUCACUGCUUCAAAGUCCAAAACCAAACUCGAUAUCUUACGGACCUUGUUGGUGGAGAAAUUCGGCUGUACAAUCACACAGGGGGGCGAUGUGGUUGCUCUGACGCAUAAGCUGAGAAAAUUUCUCCACAACAAACGGUAUGUCAUAGUUCUUGAUGACUUAUGGGUAAAAGAUGUUUGGGAGUCCAUUAGACUUGCCUUGCCAAAUGGUAAGGACAGUAGAAUAAUUAUCACUACAAGGAGAGGCGAUAUAGCUAAUUCUUGGAGAGAUGAUGAUUCUGUUGAUAUCCACAUGCUUCAGCCACUGUCACCGGAAAGGGCUGAGAAACUCUUCUAUAAGAAAGCUUUCUCAAGAAAUGGCAGAUGUCCUUCAGGCUUGGAGGAAGUCUCGAAAUCCAUCUUACAGAAAUGUGAUGGAUUACCACUUGGGAUUAUUGAAAUCGGUAGACUUUUAUCCAUCAAGGCUCCAACUAAAAAUGAGUGGAAAAUAUUACAUGAUAGCCUUGAGUCUGAAUUGAGAGGCAGUGGUGGCCUUUCAAAUAUUACGAAAGUGCUGUCUGCAAGUUAUAAUGAUUUACCUUUCCAUCUCAAGUAUUGUUUCUUGUACAUGAGCAUCUUUCCUGAGACUAGCCCAGUUAAGCGAAGAAGGCUAAUUCGGCUAUGGAUAGCUGAAGGGUUUGUAAUAGAGAAAGGAGGCAAGACAUCUGAAGAGGUUGGGGAAGAGUAUCUGAAUGAGCUGAUUGACAGGAGUCUGAUAAAGGUAAAUGAAAUGGAUUUUGAAGGAAGGCCAAAAAGUGUGGGAGUUCAUAGUCUGAUGCUGAAGAUGAUUCUCUCAGGUGGUGUUUGUUUUUUUGGCUUUUUGCUGAAAACCAUUUAGUUUUAGAAUUUAGGUUGUUUGUUUUUUUACUUUUUCAUGACUUAUUAUAAACUUUUUACUAAAUAGAAAAAGCUAAAAUAUGUGGCUUUUUCUAAAUAGAAAAAAUAACACAAUGAUUUUUUUUACUUUUUAAUACUUAAUAGAAAUAAAAUACUACAAAAACAAACAACCUAAUAUUUAAGACUAUUAAGUAUUAAGGUUCUAUUUAGAAUUAAGUAAAAAAACAAACACCACCUCAGUCUCACGAGAGGAGAACUUUUGUUCUGUUUGUACAGGAUCAGAAAGGAACUUGAGUGAGAAAACCCGGCGCCUAUCUAUUCAGAAGGAAGAUUUUGAUGUGUCUCAGGACUUACCCUGUGUUCGAACCUUCUUCAGUUUCGGUAUAGGCAAAGUAAAGAUUGGUUCCAACUUCAAACUAUUGAAGGUCUUGGACAUACAGGGCACUCCUUUGGAAGAAUUUCCGGGUGUAAUUAAAGAUCUUCUGCUCUUGAGGUACUUGAGUUUGAGGAAUACAAAUAUAAGGAGCAUUCCAGGGACCCUGGGUGACCUUCAUCACCUUGAGACCUUGGAUCUUAAGCAGACUCUGGUAACAAAAGUACCCAAAGCAGUCCUACAACUUGAGAAACUUCGCCAUUUGCUGGUUUAUCGCUACAAUAUGGAAAGUGCCCUACCUUUUGAUAUUGUGCAGGGGUUCAAGGCACCAAAGAGGAUCGGCGCAUUGAAGAACCUACAAAAGCUGUCAUUUGUAAAGGUGAGUGGGCAGCACAGAAUGAGUCGGGAGCACAGAAUGAUACAAGGGCUCGACAAUCUUACGCAGUUGAGGAAGCUGGGCAUUGUAGAACUAGCAAAAGAACGUGGGGCGAGCUUGUGCCUCUCAAUUGAAAAGAUGCCAAAUCUCCACUCCUUGAAUGUAACCUCUCUUAAUAAGGAGGAGCCUCUGGAGCUUGAUGCAAUGACCAAUCCACCGCCCCUUCUUCAACGCUUGUACCUCAAAGGGCCCUUGAAUAGGUUUCCACAGUGGGCAACUUCUCUACAUGACCUGGAGAGAAUACGCCUAAAAUGGUCUUCACUCACAGAAAACCCGAUUGCAGCUCUUCAAAACCUCCCAAAUCUGACAGAGUUGCAGUUGCUUGAUGCAUAUACUGGAACCCAGUUGGACUUCAACUCCGGAAAAUUUCCGAAGCUGAAGAUAUUAGACCUUCAGCAAUUGGAACAGGUGAGGUCUAUCAUGAUGGAAGAAGGCACAUUGCCUUGCCUACAGAAGCUGAUCAUAAGCCACUGCAGCAGGCUGGUGCAGGUCCCUAGAGGUAUUGACAAGCUCAUUCACCUCCAAAUGCUGCUGUUGUACGAUAUGCCCGGAACAUUUGUGACCGGGCUGAGGAAAAACGGUGGUCAAUUUCGCCGUUUGGUUCACCAUAUUCCAUGUAUUCAUUCAUAUAACCAGGCCCAGUUGGAAGAUCUUUCUUGAUCAUUAUACAUCUACGAGGAAGAAUCAGGUCUGUAGAACAACCUGAAUUCAUCGUUUCCUUCUUCUAGAUUCCCCAAAACGUACUGUUGGAUUGCUAUUUCUUUUCUAGGAUUACUGCAUUUUCCUAGGAAACUAUGUAUGGUGCAAUUGAGUAUGAAAUUAUGUCCUCAAUCAAAGGUAUCAUUUUACUAUUAUUUUACAAAGGUAUCAUUUUAUUUAUACGAUGAAGACAUUUGAUUAUACAUAUUUACUUUUUUCUAAAAUUUUAUUUAUUUUUAGUGUUUUUUUAUUUUUUAUUUUUAGCUUUCCAAGUAAUAUGCUCAGCAUAAAAUUCCAUAUUGAUCUAAAAUGAGCCUGAUGGGUCUAUAUAAAGAUCUCUCAUGUAAAAGAUCAAUUUACAAGGAAUACUGGUUAUGUUUGAAAGUAGUUUUAUAUUCUUUAAAAAUAUAAAACAGUUUUUUUAACUUAAAAAACGCUUUCAUCUUGAUUUGAUAUAGCAUGAUGGGUUUAUCUAAAGAUCUUUCGAGUCAAACAUCAAUUAGAAGGAAUAUCGGUCAUGUUUGAAAAUAGUUUUAUAUUCUUUUAAGAAGAUAAGUUAAACAGUUUUUUAACCUAAAAACUAUGAUUGAAAAUUUUCAGGAAUUUGUAGAGUUUGUUUAAAAAAUAAUUUGUUUUUUUUAUAUCUUUAAGAAUUCUUUUCAAAAAAAAAAAUCUCUAAAUCUUAAAACAUCCCUCUAGCUUAAAGAUGACUUUUAGAAAAUUUUACAACUUUUCCUAAUAAAGUCUAGUUCAGAACAUCCAGAAGAGUUAUAUGUAUUCUUCAUAAUCAAAAGAUGUCCGAGAAUCACUUUUAAUAUAAAAAACGUUUUUCUAAAAAAAUAAAAUGUUUCACAAAAUUCAAAAAUCAUUUUUAAAAAAUUGAAGAAUUGUUUAGAGUGUUUUUUUUUUUAAAUUUUUUAUAAAUGUUUAAUAAGUGAUUCUCCUAAAAACUCUUUAAAAAAAACAUUUAAGUAAAAAUUCUUCUGAUAAAAAUAUUAUCAAACAUACUCUAAUUCCUUAUGCUUGAAGCUUCCAAUGCAAUUCAUUGAAAGUAUUUUCCAUAUGACUUCUCCACAAAAUAUUUCUUUAAACUUAAAACUAAAAGUCAUAUUUUUAAAAAAAGAAAAAUAAAUUCUUGACAUGUAUAGGAUAUGAGAUUUUUGUUCUAACACUAGGUUAAAGUUAAGAAUGCAAAAAAAAAAACCUGACCAUUAAGUCAAAUUUAAAUCUUGAUUAAAAAAAAACCAUUAAAAUAAAUUUGCUCUACUUUGUCUCCACCCUCUUACAUUUCUUCCACCCUCUCCCCCAUCCUAUAGAUGUACCACUGUAGUAUUUUUGGAGAGGUUAACUUGCAAAGUAAGGAAAGCUUUUUUUUAAAGGACACUUCUCCACUUGUUUGUCCAAUCGGGAUAGAAACAUAAAAUUUGCUACCAAUGAUGAAGAAAAGUAAACAGAGUGUAAGAAAACAUUUCAUGUUUAAUCUAAAAAUUACAAUCCCAACAAAAAUAUAAAAAAUCAUGUCAAUCUGGUCAAUGGAAAAGGAAACAUAGAAGAACUUAUGAUGAUUCAGUUCUUCUAUAUGAUUCAGUUCUUCUAUGUUCUGCGUGUUAGUAUUGAUGUGAAUGACACGUCUAUAAAAUCUUAGCUACUUUAUAGAGAGAUUUGUUUAUACUAUCAUUUCAAUUUUUUAUUUUUGCAUAUUACAUUUUAUUGGGUAUUGAGUAUUGUUGUGAUGUUAUAGUAUUAGCAAUAUGUUAUUAUUUCAUAAUUAUACUUUUCUAUUUUGAAUAGUUUUAUAUUAAUUUAGCUUCAAUUUUUAUGAUAAUGGAGAUGAAGAAUAAUGAACAAUAUUAAAGAGAAUAUUAGCAACAUCCAACUAUAAGAACUAACUUGAGCAUUACAAGCAUUGUCCCCACUUGUCUUCACCUUUUAAAAAAGGUUAGAUUUUCAAGAAUCUCAACCCAAUAAUUAUGUUUUUUAGGUUGGGUAGCAAAAGUCAUACGGAGAGAGAAAAGUGAUAAAAAAAAGUUCACCAAUCAAAUGGAAAUAGAUUGUUAUUAUUACUGGAUUAACUUGGUCAUUAGAUUUAAAAUAGUACAUAAUAUCAUUGUGGAAUUUGCAUGCUUGGAAGGAAGAAGUCUUGUUCUUUCCAAAGGAAUUAAUGGGAGACAGGGCAAAAUGCCUGUAAGGAAAUGAUAGUAACUUUUGAAAAAGUGGGCUAUAAAGUAAAGGAGAAUUGUGAAAAAUUAAUAUUUGGUCCAUAUAAUUUUCAUAAUUGAUAGAAAUGAUAUAAGAUGUUAAAAGACCAACAUAUCUUUCAAAUUUCUAUACAUUACCUUUUUAAUUUCUAAAGUUUUACUAAAAAAUUGUACUGACAAUUUUCUUGUUAUGAAUUAAAAUACUUUGCAUUAGUCUAUCUGGAUAAGAAAAAUUAUUAAUAUAAUAUUAAAACUUCAUAUCUUAGUUAUUUUUUUCAAUAAAUUUAUCUUUUUGGAUAUAUAUAUAUAUAAUAGAGUAAAGUGAUAGUCAAUUUUAAAAUUUUUAAAAAUAUGGUUAAUGUAGAAAAUAUAAAAAAUAUUUCAAUGAAAAAUCCCAAAAUUUUUAUCAUUGCUUAUAAUAAGAGCAAAAAGAUUCAAUAUCUUUAAAAAUGAAAAACAAAAAAAACAUUAUUACUUUUUAUUUGACAUAAAAUAGAAAUAUAGAUUGGAAGAAAAAAAAAUUAGAAAUGAGUAAUACUUAAUAGAGAAUAGAAAAGGGAAAAAAAAACACAAAAAAAUUGAAAUUCAGACUUACUUGUACCUAUAUAAGGGUUAAGGGUAUUUUAGGGAUUAAUGAAGAAUAAUAUCUUUUAUCUUAAUUUUCAUACUUUGUUUGGGUCUUGGGCUUAAAUAUGCAUGAUAUAUGGACCAAAUGUUAAUUUUUGGGCCCAACUGGACCCAAAACACAAUUCUCCCAUAAAGUAACGUGAAUUUGAAAUAAUUGAUUUGGAAUCCUAUCACCUAGAAAAUGAUUACUCCUUGGGUUAUAAAUUAAAAUGAAUUUGAAAAAAUUCAUUGGAUUCUCAUUACUUUUUUAAAAGGCUGAAUUUGAGUUGACCCAAAAUAAUUUACUUCCAUCAAAAGUAAAUUAUAAGAAUAAAGGCAAGAAAAAAGAAAAUUGGUAUGCACCAUUUAUCUUUUUACUUUGGAUUGGAUAAAUUUUGUAAAAUCAUAUUUUCCUUUUACUAUAUUUUGUAAUGUUAAUAGCAACUAACUUUCAAAAUAAUGGAAAUUAAUUUGUAUAUAAGCUUAUUUGAGUACUUCCAUAUUUUUUUUAUAAUUGAGAAUUUUUUAAAGAUUUUUUUUAAGUAUUAGCUUUUAUAUUUAUUAUUAUUAUUUUUCAUAAAAUAAUAAAUUGUAAGAAAAGAGGAGAAGAACAAGAAGGAAAAUUUAUAAUUUUUUAAUUUAUUUAGAUAUUUAUAAAAAAUAAGAAAAAGAAAAUUAAAUUGUUGAAGCUUCCCAAGCUUUUUGACUGUUAUCUAACAAAUAAUAAUAAUAAUAAUAAUAAGGAACUUCCUUAAAGCAAUGUUAUCAAAAAAUAGAAUCACAUUAGUUAAGCUCAUUUUUUUCUAAUAUAAUAAUAGCAAUUAUAGUUACUUUUUUUUUUUUUUAUUCAACUUAUUUUAAAUAGGGCGUGUGCUUAUGCAAUUAUAUUUAUUUAUUUUUCUAGAAAGAUUAAUAUAUUUAUUUAUUUGUUUAUUGUGGUUAUCUCAAAAUGAUGUCUUAUUUUCUAUUUAAAUAUUGGUAUAUAUGAAAGAUAAAGUUUAAGUAUUCAUUAAUUACGAAUUCAAUUCAACUUACUCCAAUCCAAAUUUUACCCAUAUAACCCAAAAAGCUUGUCUAAUAUGUUAGACCCGUCCAAAUUAUAGUCUUAAUUUUAAAGUCAUAUUGAUUGGUUCAUCCGUUUAUAAAAACAUAGUUAAAUAAAAUUACUUGAAAAUGAAAUUAGUAUUUAGGGCAUUGUAUCAUAAACUUGUACAAAAAAUCCUUCUGAGAAUUAGAUUUUGGUACAGUUAGAUUUUGAAGAGUUUCAAGCCAAUCAAUUUUUUUACUUUUUAUUUUUGAAAGUAGGGUAGAUUGGAAUUUUGUUAUUUUUCAUUAAAAAAACUAAAAAGGCAAAGUGAAUGCAAUACAUUAAAAAAAAAAAAAAAACUUAAUCCUAAUUAUGAAAUCUAAACCUAAUAUUUAUUUAUUUGAAAUGGGUUAGGCGUUGGUGAAUAAUUGAACAUCAUGUGAAGGUUUUUAAUUCAACAUGUAGUGAUAUUGUCAUUUGCCCCCUUCUUUUCUAACAAAAUAAUUUGAUGGAGUUUAAUCCCGAUUAUGCUCGUUAGUAAUCUUAUAAUAUCUCAUAUUUGUGAUCAAAACAUAAAUAUUCAUAUUCAAAGUUUGUAUGAUACGAGAAAAUGAGAAGAAUUAUGGAGACAUGUUUUAAAGUUAGGAACCAAAAAAGAGUAAUUUGAAUUUGUAUUCUUGCUUUUCGUAAUAAUCAAUCCAUGCAUUGAACUCAUGUGUUCAAGAUUAAACUAAUCUAACCCUAUGUCCAAUCCAAACUAUCCGAUCCAAGCUCAACUUCUUAUCAUUCCCAUGACACUCAAAAGCAACAAUAUCAUAUACAAAUAAAUUGAAAUUUAUGUAAAAUAUAUAUCACGUUCAAAUUGGCCUUAGGUUGUCCAAAACCCAAACCCAAAGCCCAGUUUAAUUUAAUUAGAGCAAUAAUAAAAUAAUUCCAAUAAUUACAAUUAAUUUAUAGCAAUUAAAUAAAAAUUUCACAGGAGUAAAAAUUAUUUCCAAUAAAUAUAUUAUAAAGUCAUGUAAAAGUUGCUAGUUACCCCUCUAGUAAAAAGUAUACAUUUAUUUAUCCCACUUUAAAAAAAAUGAUAGUAGUGAAAUCCAUGAACAAAAUUUAAUUAUCAUAUUCUUAAAAAGCACCCAAGAUCCCAAACCAUGAAUUAUAUUUAGGGAUGAUAAUAGGGUGGGUUUAAGACGAGUCGCCCCAUCCCAACCCCGUCCCAUUUAUUUAAAAUAAUUUUCAUCCCCGUCUCAUUUAAAAAAUUAAAUUGGACAGGGCGGGCCGGGAUGGGUAUAAGCAACUCCCUGCCCCGCCUUCGUUUAAUUUUUUUUUUUAAAUUACUUUUAAUAUUUUAAUUACAUUAAAGUAAAUAUAUUUUAUAAAUAAUUAAAUUAUUACAUUUUUUAUGACUUAUUUUAUUAAAAAAUACUUUAUUAUUAUCUAUAGUAGAAUAAAAAUUAAUUUAAUUUAAUUUUAAAAAAUAAUUUUAUAUACAAUUGUAGGGUGGGAUUGGACAAGGCAAUACCUGAACUCAUCCCAAACUCAUCUUGGGUUUAAAAAAAAAAUUUCAAAUCCGUUUAGUUAAAAUUCAAACAUGUUCCAUUAGGGGCAGGAUGGGUACUCGAAAAACCCGUCCCAUUGUCAUUCCUAAUUAUAUUACACCUCUGUGAUCAAAUAAAUAAAAAGAUACGUUUAAUCACAUAUUUAAUUAAUUUUUUAAAAAUAAAAGAAGUUGGGUCGUUGGACCAAAGCACAAAAGUGAGAAGCGCAUAUCUGAGCCCAUUAAAUUUGGGCUUUAACAUUGCCAGUAUGUUAGCCUACAACAAAUUCAAACUCCAAACUCCAAACUCCACCGUCAGAUCCCCAGGCACCAUCUAUGCGUAUCUCUCCCUCUAAACAAUCUCCUCCAUUUUCACGCCAUGCAUAAAGCAACAAUCCCGAGAGAAAAUAGUCUCUCAUUGCUAUAUAUAUUGUCGGAGACUGAUUUUCUUGCCUAAUUUGGAUUUUAAAAUUUCAUGCAUCUCAUUUUGAUCACAAACCUGAGAAAAGCCCCAUAUAAAAAUAACACAAGUAUUACAAAAUAAAUAAGUAUUAAAAAAAAAAAAAGAAUUAUGAACAAAUCUCAAUAUCAAAUAUGAACAACAAACACUAGAUUUAGUGGUUCACAAUAAUUUUAGGUAUGUACGUCAACAUAAGAACGAUAAAGUACAACAAACUAGAGGAGUAGAAUAGAAUACUCAUUUUUCAUCCAAAAUGAUUCCAUCAAAGUAACAAAUUAUGCCAACCUUAUCAUUGAAGAAACCUAAAAGAACAAGUACUAGAAAGGUUGUGAGGAGAUUUGAGCAAUAAUUGUAGUGAACGAAAGUUGAUACUAGAUUUGAAUUCUACUUCUAUUUAAAAGCUAAAUGCACUUCCAUGGCAUGCAAAGAGAUUCCAAAAGCUUUAAAUAAACUGAAUGGUUCUUUGAAGCAUGAUUGAAGCUUCUAAAAGUGUCAAAAAUAGAGAUUCACAAAGAAUUUUGAAUUCAUUCUUCCUUUCUUAAUCAAACCCUCUCUAGGUCCAUAAGUUGUACUAAAGAGCUUUUGAAUGUCAACAAUGAAUGACAAGGUUAUGAAAUAUGAGGUUAUCUUCCACUAAAAAUCAUUCCAAGGAUAGUUUGAUUAAACUUGAUCCACACCUAUAAUGCCCCUAUAAAAAAAAAAAAAAAAUAGAAUUGAGUCAGUUUAAGAAUGAUAGCUCCUAUAUUGACAUGUAAACGGUACCAUAAAAACACUCGUAACACACCUUUCAUGCACAUCUUGAACAUGUAGAUCAAUCAUCCAAGAUUGGCUUCUCCCACUAUUUCAAACUAUUGAAGGUUUUGGACAUACAAAGCACUCCUUUAGGAAACUUUACAAGUGCCAUCAUAGAUCUUCUGCUCUUGAGAUACUUGAGUUUGAGGAAUACAAAUAUAAGGAGCAUCCCCAAAUCCCUCAGGAACCUACGGCACCUUGAGACCUUGGAUCUUAAGCAAACUCUGGUAAAAGAGCUACCCAAAGCAGUCUACAACUUGAUAAACUUCGCCACUUGCUGGUUUAUGCCUACAAUAUGGGAAGUGUUGUAACUUUUGACGCCGUUUAAGGGUUCGCUGUACCGAGAAAGAUCGGAGCAAUGAAGAACCUGCAAAAGCUAUCAUUUGUAAAGGCGAGAAGGCAGAACAGAAUGAUACAGGAGCUCAAAAAUCUGACAAAGCUGAGGAAGCUGGGCAUUGUAGAACUAGCAGAAGAAGAUGGCAACAGCUUGUGUCACUCAAUUGAGAAGAUGCCGGAUCUCCUUUCCUUGGAUGUUACCUCCCUUAGUAAGGGGGAGCCUCUGGAGCUUGAUCCAAUGGCCAACCCCCGCGUCUUCUUCAACGCCUGUAUCUCAAAGGGCACUUGCAAAGGUUGCAAAGUGGGUAUCUUCUCUUCAUGACCUGGUGAGAAUACGCCUAAAAUGGUCCUUAUUGUCCCAAGACAACCCAAUUGAAGCUCCUCAAGAUCUCCCAAACCUGAUGGAGCUGCAGUUACUUGAUGCAUACACUGGAACCCAGUUGGACUUCAACUCGGGAAAAUUUCAGAAGCUUAAGAUAUUAGACCUUGAGCAAUUGAAACAGCUGAGGUUUAUCAUAAUGGAAGAUGGCACAUUGCCUUGCCUACAAAAGCUGAUCAUAAGGCAAUGCAAUGAGCUGAAACAUGUCCCCGUAGGUAUUGACGGGCUCCAUCAUCUUAAUGAGCUGCACCUCUGCGAUAUGCCUGAGAAAUUCGUGGCCCAGCUGAAGAAAAGAGGCGGUGAACUUCGCCAUUUGCUUCACCGUUGUUUGCAUAUUCUCUCAUAUCAACAGGGCCGGUUGGUGGAAGAUCUUUCAUGACCAUAUCUGAUACAUCUGUGACAUGCACCAGUGGAUCAAGAAUCAGGUUUGUAUAACUACAUGGAUUCAUCGCUUGCUUCUUUUGGGUUCCUCAAAAUGCAUUGUUGUCAAUUACUUUACAAGCAAUAUUACUGCAUGUUCCUAGGAAAUCAUGGUGGGAUAUCUAGCAUUUAUACAUAUCAAGCAUCAAAUAUCUGUGGAGUCGUAUUUGAAACUGCCAUUGUUGAAACUACCCCGAGACUCGGUACAAGACAUAGUCGGAUUAUGGUCAGGUGUCAAGCCCCCGAGACUUCCAAUUGAUUUUUAUGCUUCUUGUAUUAAUAAUAGUGUUGGAUUGUAAGGACUGAAUUGUUUUUAUUGUGUUUGGCUUAAAAUGUCGGGAUCAAGUUCCACGUUAAGCUUGUGGGGAUAGCCAUGGACGUAGAAAACGAAUUGAUUAUCAAACCACUCUAAAAAUCUCCUCCUUCUUUUUUAUUUUAUUUUAUUUUUAUUUUUAUUUUUAUUUUCUAUUUGUGUAUGGUUUAAUUAAUUAACAAAUAAUGGCCCUAUGCCUACGUGAAAUUGACUUGUGAAUUUUUAAUAUUAUGUUUUUAUGAUUAUUUUAGAUGAUACUAAAUAUAAUAGUGAUUUGCUUUAAUUUUUAGUUUGUUGAAUGCAUUCUCAUCCAAUUGUAUUUAUAUAUUUUCUCUAAAAUUUUUAUUAUUUUAAAAUUAUUCUAUACUUUUUUAAUUAAUCAAGCAGUUUAUUGUGCCUACAGUCUGGUCUAAUUGAAUAAAAUAUGAUUUAUUAAUGUCAACUCAGCCCAAUCAAUUCUUUCACAGAGGAACAAUGGUUUAUUAAUGUGCAAAUUAAUAGCGUUUUAUAAAUAAAAUAUUCUUAAUUUCCUCUACAAAAACAAAUUAGUGUUAAAUAAACCGAUAAUAAUAUUUUUAUUGGGAUUUUUCAAUGGCAUUAUAAAGUCACCAAUCAAUUAAUAAAAAAUGGUCAUUGAAGUCACCAUGAUUUAUUUAUUUAUUUAUUUUUACCUCGAUAAUGAUCUUAAUUAUCGUUUUUUCUGGAUUAUUUGAGUAUUAAAUUUUUUACAAAAGUAACUUUUAAUCUUUUUUUUUACUUGAAAAUUUUUAUUAAAAAAAAUUCUAUAUAGGGCAUAUAAUUAAGAUUAGGUUUAUUAAUAAAUGAAAUGUUUUUCUUAGCUGCAAUCAUGUUGACCCAUAAAUUUGUAUGAGAAAAUUUGAAUUUCUUUAUUUUCUUUUACAUGACCCAAAGGUUAAUAUAAAUUGUCUUGAAGUAGCAGUAAAGUGAUCAUUUUAAGUACCACAAAUACUUGUGAUUUGGAAAUAAUCAAAGUCUUCCCAAUGGGGACGACCCUAGGUUCCAAUACAUUAGCACUGAUUUCUUUGAGUUGUAUAUGAUGCUUCUUUUCAUGUUAUUUACGACAUUGACUACGGGAAUCCCUUGCACACGCAAGUGGCAUUCAUUAAAAGUUAAGACCACUACUUUCAAGGUCCUAUGUCCAGCUUCUGAGUAACAACAGUAUGAUUGAGUUCAACAACAAAUUUGAGAAUUUUUUUUUUAACCCAAAGUGGGUUUGGGUACAAUGUUGUCCCAUCGAAAUGAUAAAAAUAUCGAUAAUAACGGAUAUAUUAGUAUUUCGAUUUUAUAGAUAUAUUGAAGAUAUAUGUUGGAUAUUUAAAAAAAAAAUAUCGAUAGACUUAAAAUUGAUCAAAAUUCAUAAAAAUGUUAAAAAAAAUCACGUAUAAAUAUAAUUAAAAGUAUAACAAACAUUUUAAAAUUAUUUUAUUGAAAAAUUUAAUUUAUGUAUAAUAUGAUUUGUCAUAUUUGAUAAUAAUAUCAUAUGCGUCGAUAAAAAAAUAUGAAUUUUAUAAGUGUACAUUUAUUAUUAAAUUGCAUAAAAUAUUAUUGCAUAAUAAUAUUAUGAUAUUUGAUUAUAAUAUAUUUAAUUUUAAAAUAUAUUUAAUAUUAAAAUUGUGAUCCAUUUAAUUCAAUUAUAUUAAAUAAUAUAAAAUAAAUGAUGAUAUAUAUACCGUUGUGAUAUUUAAUAAUAAUUUUUAUAACUUGAAAACAUACUUUAUGUAUAUUAAUCUAAUUUGGAUGUAUUUAAUGACAAAAAAAUAAUGAUAAUUUGUAUAAGUAUUUUUUAUUUUAAAAUUUUGACAAUUUUAUUCAAAAAUAUAUAUUUAUUUUAUAUGUAAUUAUUAUAUAAAAGUCACAAUAACUAAAAUUAAUUCAUUUAGAAUAUUUUUUUUAUUAAUUUAUAAUAUAUAUGUAUAUAUUAUAAAUUAAUCUUGAAAGAUGGUUGUCCGGCAGGUGUUGGUGCCUUGGUGGGCGAUCUAUAUAAAUAAUAUGUAAAUUUAAUCAACAACAGCAUGGUUGCCUGGCUGGUGUUGGUGGGCGAGCGUGAGCCUGAGGGUCGUUCGAAUAUCCUUGGUUCCAUUCUUCUUGAUUUACCUUUGCCUUUCAAAAAUUCUAAUUCUUGCAAUCCCACAUCGGUUCAUGACACCAAAAAGGUGUAUUUAAACAUUGGAGUGGUGGAGGUCUCACUUGUGUUCAGAGCACGUUGGGCCCAAGCUGCAUUUUGGGCCUAAACAUUGGGCCAGGGCCAAAAUUAAGAGUUUUAGGGGCAAAAGGAAUUGAGAAUGAUGACGUGGCAGCGAUAUCGUGAAAAUAUCGAGAAAAAUGGCGAUUUUAAUGGAAAUAUCGCCGAUAUUUCCUCUAUAAGGUUAUAUUUAAUAUUAAAUAAAAAUGAUUUUAAUUAAUUUUUGACUUUUUUUAACAUAUAUAAAAUAUUAUUUUUUUAUAAAAAUAAAUUAUAAAUAUUUAUAAUAUUUAUUUAUUUGUAAACUAUAUUUAUUUUUAAUACAAUUUAAAAGUAAAAAAUUAAAAAAUAAAUAAAUAAACAGAUAUGGUGAAUAUGAUAAUCGUUGAUUUUCAUGAUUCUUAGUAAAAAUAAAAGAAAAUAAAAACGAAAAAAAGAAGAAGAAAAACAUAUAGAUUUAAUGUGUUCAAUAGAUUACGUACACGGAAUAGGGAAUAAAACUUUCAUUAUCUUUGAAAUUAGGGUUAUAUAUUAAAAUUUUAUUAUUAUCAUUAUCAUUUAUAUUUUAUUUUAUUUUUAAAUAAAUUUAUAUUUUUAAUAUUUUAAAAUAAAAACAUUCAAAUUAAAAAGAUAAAUAUAAAAAAUUUAAAAGUGAAGUAGUAAUUUUUUAGAAUGGAAUUAAUGAAAUAGAUUAUGAUUUUUUUAAUAUUUAUAUUUUUUAUAUUUAAUUAUCAUAUAAAUAAUAUAAAAAAGACUUAUUAAAAAAUUAUAAUAUUAAAAUUUUAUAUUUUUAUUAAUCAAUUAAAUAUAAUUUAAAAUAAAAUAAUUAAAAUUAAGUUUUUUUAAUGAUGAAGCUUAACAAAUUUAAAUUGAAUAUAUAUUAUCAAAGAGCAUCAUAAUGGUAAAUAUUCGAUAUUUCCCAUAGUGAUUUAAUCCAAAUAAAGAAGGAUAAUUAAUAAUUAUUUAUAUAGAGAGAGGAAAAUUGUUUCAUGAUUUGUUUUUUUUUUUUUUAUCUCUACUAAAUAUAAAAAUCAACCCAAUUCUCUCACUCGGGAAGGCCCUAUUUUCCUCUGCCACUGUCAAUCCUCGCAGGUACUAAUCUAAUCAUGUUAUUAUUAUUAUUAUUAUUAUUAUUAUUAUUAUUAUUUUUGCAACCCCGUUUGAUCCCCAAGAAAAUCCAUCCCCCAUUCGAUUUCCGGGAAAAUUCAUCCUCGUUUGAUUUCCGAGAAAAUCCAUGCAAAACCCCCCAAAGAAAUCCAAAAAAAUUGCUUUUUCUUUGCUCCCUGUGUUUUCUGGAUCUGUUCUAGGGGUCUCUUUGCUUUUGUGCCAUUGGAUUUAAAUUUCACGAAGCCUAAAUCCACGAUUUUUGAGCCAGACUGAAAAAAACAACCUUUGCCUGCAAAUCCACGAUUUAAGAGUUAUAUUUAGUAUUUUUGCAGUCAGUGAAUGUGCCGCCACAUGUUUGAAUGAUUGGAACUUCAAAAACCAGUAACUUGUUUUUGCCAAAGCAAAGGAUUGAAUAUUUCCUUGGUGGAUUUUUGGGAACUGAUCAUGCACCCACAAGAAAUCUCCAUCAAGCAUGAAGUUGUCUUAUUCGAAGGUUGACCCUUGGUGCAUGGGGUCAUUCAAUAAGGUUAAUAAAUUGUCUGGAGGGAGCAGUAAAUGAUAACAUAUAGCCGUGUGCUUGGAAAUAUUCGAAGUCUUCCCAAUGGGGAAGACUCUAGGAUCCAAUACAAUCCUGGUUUUCUUGAUUUAUAUCUAAUGCUUGUGGUUGUAUUAUUUGUGUCAUUGACUCCUGAAGUCUUUUGGAAGUAUACUUGGAUGUGGCAUUCAUCAGUAGUUAAAAUCAUUGUUUUCAGGGCCCCUACGCCAAGCUCCCAAGCAACAGCAAGGUGAAGAGAAAGAGCAUGAACCCAGAUCUAGCUGGAGGGAUGGCAGACGGGGCUGUGUCGUUUCUUCUUCAAAAACUUGAAGCUUUUGCAAGUACAGAAUGGAACUUGCAGGAAAAUAUCAGGAAUGGAGUCCGUGAGUUACAAAGGGAGCUGUGGAGAAUAGAAGCCAUGAUGAGAGAUGCUGAUGCAAAGAAAGAUUAUGAUAACCAAUUCAACGUGUGGAUUCAAGAAGUUCGCACAGAAGCUUAUGCCAUUGAGGAUGUUCUUGACCUGUUCAGACUCCACUGGGAUCAAGAAUCAGUGUGGCGCCACUUGAAAAUGUGGCACUCCAUUAGCAACCUGAUACAGGAUAUUAACACAAGGCUCGCGAUCAUUAAGCAGACAAAGGAGAGGUACCAGAUCAUUAAGGAGAUAAAUGAGAGGUAUCCGAUGAUGGUCCCCACCAAUUCAGUUAGUUCGGAAACCAACACAUACCAUAAUGUGAGAGCAGCUCCUUUGAUCCUCGGCUGGGGCAAUAACACCAUGGGCAUUGAUGAGCCUAAAAGGAAGCUGGUUUCUUGGGCAUCAAAGUCGAAUCAGAAACUCAAGGUUAUGUUCCUAGUGGGGAUGGCUGGGUUGGGCAAGACAACGCUUGCCUACCGCGUGUACGAGGAGGUGAAGGAGCACUUUGAUUGCCAUGCCUGGAUCAUUGCUUCAAAGUACCAAACCAUAGAUGAAACCUUACGGAGCUUGUUGGAGGAACUUGGCUCUUCAACAGAGGGGUCCGGCAUAGUUCUUCUCAUGCAGAGACUGCACAAUUUUCUCCAGCACAAACGGUAUGUUAUAGUUGUUGACAAUUUAUUGGUAAAAGAUGUGUGGGAAUCCAUUAGACUUGCCUUGCCAGAUGGUAACGACAAUAGAAUAAUUAUCACUACAAGAAGAGGCGAUAUAGCUAAUUCUUGCAGAGAUGAUUCUAUUGAUAUCCACAAGGUUCAGCCACUGUCACUGCAAUGGGCUGAGCAACUCUUCUAUAAGAAAGCUUUCUUAGGAGAUGGCAGCUGUCCUUCAGGCUUGGAGGAAGUCUCGAAAUCCAUCUUACAGAAAUGUGAUGGAUUACCACUUGGGAUUAUUGAAAUCGGUAGGGUCUUGCGGAGUAAGCCUCGUCAAACUAAAUACGAGUGGAAAAAAUUACAUGAUAGCCUUGAGUCUGAAUUGAGAAGCGGUGGUGCCCUUUCAGAUAUUAUGAGAGUGUUUUCUGCAAGUUACAAGGAUUUACCUUACCAUCUCAAGUAUUGCUUCUUAUACAUGAGUAUUUUUCCUGAGAAUAAUCCAGUUAAGCGAAGAAGACUGAUUCGGCUAUGGAUAGCUGAGGGAUUUGUAACAGAGGAGAGAGGCAAGACUCUUGAAGAGGUGGGGGAAGAGUACCUGAAUGAGCUUAUUGGCAGGAGUCUGAUAAAGGCAAAUGAAAUGGACUUUGAUGGAAGGCCAAUAACUGUUGGAGUCCAUAGUCUCAUGCAUAGGAUAAUUCUCUCAGUUUCACAAGAGGAGAACUUCUGUACUGUUUGUGCAGGACCAGAAGGAAACUUGACUGACAAACCCCGGCGCCUAUCCAUCCAGACGGGAAACUUUGAUGUGUCUCAGGACUUAACCUGUGUUCGAACUUUUUUCAGUUUCAGUACAGGUAGGAUAAACAUUGGUUCGAAUUUCAAACUAUUGAAGGUUUUGGACAUACAAAGCACUCCUUUGGGAAACUUUCCAAGUGCCAUUACAGAUCUUGUGCUCUUGAGGUACUUGAGUUUGAGGAAUACAAAUAUAAGGAGCAUCCCCAAAUCCCUCAGGAACCUACGGCACCUUGAGACCUUGGAUCUUAAGCAGACUUUGGUAACAAAGGUACCCAAAGCAGUCCUACAAUUGGAGAAACUUCGCCAUCUGCUGGUUUAUUGCUACAAUAUGGAAAGUGCACCUUUUGAUAUUGUUCAGGGGUUCAAGGCACCAAAGGGGAUCGACGCAUUGAAGAACCUACAAAAGCUAUCAUUUGUAAAGGCGAGUGGGCAGCACAGAAUGAUACAAGGGCUCGACAAUCUUACGCAGUUGAGGAAGCUGGGCAUUGUAGAACUAGCAGAAGAACAUGGGGCGAGUUUGUGCCUCUCAAUUGAAAAGAUGCCAAAUCUCCACUCCUUGAAUGUAACCUCCCUUAAUAAGGAGGAGCUUCUGGAGCUUGAUGCAAUGACCAAUCCACCGCCCCUUCUUCAACGCUUGUACCUCAGAGGGCCGUUGGAAAGGUUUCCACGGUGGGUAUCUUCUCUACAUGACCUGGAGAGAAUACGCCUAAAAUGGUCUUCACUCACAGAAAACCCGAUUGGAGCUCUUCAAAACCUCCCAAAUCUGACAGAGUUGCAGUUGCUUGAUGCAUACACUGGAACCCAGUUGGACUUCAACUCGGGAAAAUUUCAGAACCUUAAGAUAUUAGACCUUGAGCAAUUGAAACAACUGAGGUUUAUCAUAAUGGAAGAUGGCACAUUGCCUUGCCUACAAAAGCUGAUCAUAAGGCAAUGCAAUGAGCUGGAACAUGUCCCCGUAGGUAUUGACGGGCUCCAUCAUCUCAAUGAGUUGCACCUCUGCGAUAUGCCUGAGAAAUUGGUGGCCCAGCUGAAGAAAAACGGUGGUCAAUUUCGCCAUUUGGUUCACCAUAUUCCGUAUAUUCAUUCAUAUAACCAGGGCCAGUUGGAAGAUCUUUCUUGAUCAUUAUA